CUCACAGUGGGGAGAUACACCACCAGUGCUCCGUCUGUGGGAAGUGUUUCCUGCUGUUCCAGGACCUCAAGAGACACCGGGAGAUACACAAAGGUGAGAGAGACACCGGGAGAUACACAAAGGUGAGAGAGACACCGGGAGAUACACAAAGGUGAGAGAGAGACACCGGGAGAUACACAAAGGUGAGAGAGAGACACCGGGAGAUACACAAAGGUGAGAGAGAGACACCGGGAGAUACACAAAGGUGAGAGGGAGACACCGGGAGAUACACAAAGGUGAGAGGGAGACACCGGGAGAUACACAAAGGUGAGAGGGAGACACCGGGAGAUACACAAAGGUGAGAGAGAGAUACACAAAGGUGAGAGAGAGAUACACAAAGGUGAGAGAGAGAUACACAAAGGUGAGAGAGAGAUACACAAAGGUGAGAGAGACUCAAACACACUGAUUCACUGUAGCAAAACGUUUUGCAAUGGAAAGGGAAACAUUUUUGUGCAAAAAUUCUAUUGGACAAAUUCAAGUUCCUUCUCCAUUUUGUUCUGUUUGCUUCCAUUUUUGUUCCUAGUGAAUACACCCCUGAAGUCUAUGCUCACACACUUGGGUCAUAUUCAUUAGGAACCAAACAGAAACAAAUGGGCCCGAAGUAGGAGGGACUAUCCAAUAAUAAUACACUUGUUUUCCGUUUGCAAAACAUUUUGCAACAGUACUUUGCAGCAAUGAACAAGGACCCUGAGAUCUCUGCUGGAACACAGGUGACUUGAAGAAACAUCAACAUAUCCACAGCAGUGCUUCUUUCCAUAAAGUAGCUGGGUAUUUACAUGUGUAUUAUUAUGUAAUAAAC
Molecule: long non-coding RNA, 838 nt
Organism: Oncorhynchus tshawytscha (Chinook salmon)
Lineage: Eukaryota; Metazoa; Chordata; Actinopteri; Salmoniformes; Salmonidae
Source: Ensembl